Molecule: long non-coding RNA, 1348 nt
Organism: Salvia splendens (bonfire salvia)
Lineage: Eukaryota; Viridiplantae; Streptophyta; Magnoliopsida; Lamiales; Lamiaceae
Exons: 2
Source: RefSeq, a predicted model, not a curated record
CUCAACACAACUCCAAAUCAACAAGAUCGAAUCCCUAGCUCAAACCCCUUCUCUGCCCCUUUCUUCUCGGCAAACCGGCGCCACGAGGUCACCGAAGACGGCGUGCUUCACCUCGACGCAGCAUCUGGCUGCCAGCUCGGCGAAUUUGCGCUGUUGGGACAGAGGGGCGUCGCCGUGGUCAUCGCCAUCACUGGGGCUCGGCGAAUUCGAGCUAUCGUCGGAACAGAGGUGGAGGCGUCGGCUCCGUGACCCCCUCUCAUCUUUCUCGGCUGCACUGCAGGAACGGCUCAUCAUCACCACGACCCUGUUCGCGACGCCUCCGUCGCGUCGUGGCCGUCGUCGCCUGUAGGCCGUCGCCGCUGCACCCGGGGCUCUCCGCAGCUGUCUUCGCGGGCUUACUAUCGCCAGUAGCCACCGGGGCAGUUUCUUGUCCCUAAAGCUAAGUCUUUCUUACUUAGCUAAUUUAUGACCUCUUUUAGACGAUUUAGCAUUAGGCAGGUUAUGGUGAUUCGAUUCUUGUUCUAGAGCAUCUACGUUCCUGAGCUUUUGUCCCUAAGUUCUCAAACUUGGCUAUCUACUGUGUGUUACAUGAUGCUAGUAUGGUUUGGAGGAUUUACCUCUUGUGAUUGCUGAGUGAGGCUGCUCUUACUCUUGCUCGAUUCCCUCUUCUCUGUCUUGGUUCUUCCUCCCUCCCUUUAGCUUGUUAUCCACUGAAUGAGAAAGUUGAAGUAUAGGGGAGUGGAACGAGGGGGAGAGCAUGUAUAUAUGCUUGGUUUGUAACUGAAAGCUGCACAUAGCUGAGUGUUGGCUGGCAAAGGGCUCCACAGAUUGUGCAGCUGGCUGCUCCCUCUGCAGCUCUGCAGUGCAUACUCUGAGUCCCUGAUUCCUCUUUUCUAACAGAUUCUGAUGGCGUUUCAUGGUAGUGGCUGUACUCUGCAGGGAUUUGCAGGGGUGUACUCGUGCAUUUAAUGGCAUUGUGGGGGCUGAUUCCCGGACUAUAACAGGUUCGGGUGGGGGAAGCAAGGGCUGCUAUCUGCAGCUUUGCAGAGUAUUAGCUGGAGGGGAGCCUGCUGGCUGGAGUUUGCCUCUUUCGGGCCAACUCUCACUCACAUUUCUGAAAGGAACCGAGGCUGUUCUUCCUCGUGGUCUCGUCCUCUCGGCUCGUUCAAAAAUCUGGGGCCGAGACGGCCCUUGACGAAGGCCGAAGUAGCCCUUAGGGAUUUCUAAAUGUAAAAGUGUAGCUCGACUUUUAUUUUCGUCGUCAAAGAUUGUAACUUUAGUUUGAGAUUCUGAAAACUGUAAUUUGUACCCUUUCUCAAGAAAUAAAAAUACUAUUUCAUUCGUUAAA